AUUGAACGCUGGCGGCAGGCUUAACACAUGCAAGUCGAGCGGUAACAGAGAGAAGCUUGCUUCUCUGCUGACGAGCGGCGGACGGGUGAGUAAUGCCUAGGAAUCUGCCUAGUAGUGGGGGAUAACUUGCCGAAAGGUAAGCUAAUACCGCAUACGUCCUACGGGAGAAAGGAGGGGACCUUCGGGCCUUUCGCUAUUAGAUGAGCCUAGGUCGGAUUAGUUAGUUGGUGAGGUAAUGGCUCACCAAGACCGCGAUCCGUAACUGGUCUGAGAGGAAGAUCAGUCAAACUGGGACUGAGACACGGUCCAGACUCCUACGGGAGGCAGCAGUGGGGAAUAUUGGACAAUGGGGGGAACCCUGAUCCAGCCAUGCCGCGUGUGUGAAGAAGGUCUUAGGAUUGUAAAGCACUUUAAGUUGGGAGGAAGAGCAGUUAACUAAUAUUUGACUGUUUUGACGUUACCGACAGAAUAAGCACCGGCUAACUUCGUGCCAGCAGCCGCCGCGG
Molecule: ribosomal RNA, 506 nt
Filed under: uncultured bacterium
Lineage: Bacteria
Description: partial 16S ribosomal RNA
Rfam family: Bacterial small subunit ribosomal RNA
Source: RNAcentral